Molecule: ribosomal RNA, 446 nt
Filed under: uncultured bacterium
Lineage: Bacteria
Description: bacterial SSU rRNA
Rfam family: Bacterial small subunit ribosomal RNA
Source: RNAcentral
UCGAGGAUCUUCGGCAAUGGACGCAAGUCUGACCGAGCGACGCCGCGUGUGGGAUGAAGGCCUUCGGGUUGUAAACCACUGUCAGUGGGGAGAAAAUUCAUAUGGGUUCUCUCAUAUGAUUGAUCUAUCCGCAGAGGAAGUGUGGGCUAAGUUCGUGCCAGCAGCCGCGGUAAGACGAACCACACAAACGUUAUUCGGAAUUACUGGGCUUAAAGGGUGCGUAGGCUGCGCAGAAAGUUGGGUGUGAAAUACCUCGGCUCAACCGAGGAACUGCGCCCAAUACUACUGUGCUUGAGGAAUACAGAGGUAAGCGGAACUUAGGGUGGAGCGGUGAAAUGCGUUGAUAUCCUAAGGAACACCGGUGGCGAAAGCGGCUUACUGGGUAUUUUCUGACGCUGAUGCACGAAAGCUAGGGGAGCGAACGGGAUUAGAUACCCCCGUAGUCC